GAUGAAGAACGCAGCGAAAUGUGAUAAGUAAUGUGAAUUGCAGAAUCCAGUGAAUCAUCGAAUCUUUGAACGCACAUUGCGCCCGCCAGCAUUCUGGCGGGCAUGCCUGUUCGAGCGUCAUUUCAACCCUCGACCUCCCCUUGGGGAGGUCGGCGUUGGGGACCGGCAGCACACCGCCGGCCCUGAAAUGGAGUGGCGGCCCGUCUGCGGCGACCUCUGCGUAGUAAUACAGCUCGCACCGGAACCCCGACGCGGCCACGCCGUAAAACACCCAACUUCUGAACGUUGACCUCGAAUCAGGAAGGACUACCCGCUGAACUUAAGCAUAUCAAUAAGCGGAGGA
RNAcentral lists this unclassified non-coding RNA (343 nucleotides) under soil metagenome. RNAcentral describes it as "partial contains 5.8S ribosomal RNA, internal transcribed spacer 2, and large subunit ribosomal RNA". The stretch from base 1 to 120 matches the Rfam family "5.8S ribosomal RNA", at positions 35 to 154 of the family's 154-position model. The record is from RNAcentral.